GAAAUGCGAUAAGUAAUGUGAAUUGCAGAAUUCAGUGAAUCAUCGAAUCUUUGAACGCACCUUGCGCUCCUUGGUAUUCCUUGGAGCAUGCCUUUUUGAGUAUCAUGAAAUCUUCAAAGUAAAUCUUUUGUUAUCUCAAUUGGUUUCUACUUUGGUAUUGGAGGUCUUUGCAGCUUCACACCUGCUCCUCUUUGUUCAUUAGCUGGAUCUCAGUGUUAUGCUUGGUUCCACUCGGCGUGAUAAGUUAUCUAUCGCUGAGGACACUGUAAAAGGUGGCCAAGGUAAAUGCAGAUGAACCGCUUCUAAUAGUCCAUUGACUUGGACAAUACUUUUAUGAUCUGAUCUCAAAUCAGGUAGGACUACCCGCUGAACUUAAGC
This 378-nucleotide unclassified non-coding RNA is filed under the name plant metagenome. Its description in RNAcentral is "partial contains 5.8S ribosomal RNA, internal transcribed spacer 2, and large subunit ribosomal RNA". The stretch from base 1 to 105 matches the Rfam family "5.8S ribosomal RNA", at positions 50 to 154 of the family's 154-position model. The record is from RNAcentral.